UAAUUGAAUAAUUUAACGAUUUACCCUUCCUAUUUGAUAUUGAUUAGCUCACCAAUCCAUAUGUAAUGGAACUCUAUUCGCUUUUCUGAUUGAUAUAUAAAAUAAUAGAAUUAGGAAAUCCUUUAUUUACUAUAUCACUGAAUAAUAACUUUUUUGUUGACAAAAGAAUAAAGAUCUUUUCUAUUCCAAGGUGGGGAGUUUUAUUUUCCCCAUCGACCUA
This 220-nucleotide small RNA is filed under the name Solanum crotonoides. RNAcentral describes it as "SprA". The record is from RNAcentral. Lineage: Eukaryota; Viridiplantae; Streptophyta; Magnoliopsida; Solanales; Solanaceae.